Penaeus vannamei (Pacific white shrimp) is the source of this 334-nucleotide non-coding RNA. The record is from RefSeq and is a predicted model, not a curated record. Lineage: Eukaryota; Metazoa; Arthropoda; Malacostraca; Decapoda; Penaeidae.
GAUUAUGUCAUUGAUUAUGUUCCUAACUUUCACGACAUUCUUUUUCUCUCACAGGUGAAGAGCUCAUCUGAGGAUCGCAAGCUUGAGUAUGACAGGAAACGCAAGGUGGAGCAACUGCGCUUCAUGAGUGAUUUGUAUGAUGCGAUGUCAGGCAGAAGGAAGAAACCAAGAUUCAGAAGUCAAACAUCGCAGACUGGCCAGCAGCCUACGAGCCUCGAGACAAAACAUCGCAAAAUUGAUAACUGAAAGUUAUUAUUGGAAUCAAGAUUACUUAUUAUUUUUUCCUUUUUUUUUCCUUUUCAUCCUCCUCGGAAAAUUCUUCACACACACAGAC